RNAcentral lists this long non-coding RNA (235 nucleotides) under Lathyrus oleraceus (garden pea). RNAcentral describes it as "Pisum sativum (pea) long non-coding RNA (PSAT_LNC002368)". Lineage: Eukaryota; Viridiplantae; Streptophyta; Magnoliopsida; Fabales; Fabaceae. The record is from RNAcentral.
UCAACAAGCAUUGACCAAAGAUAGAGGAGAUCAAGGUCAAAUAAUAGUAAACAAAAGCAAGAUGAAGAUUAGAAGUCAAGAAACAAAUAAAAUAUUUUUGGUAUUUUUCAAAAUAAAAAUAAUACUUGAAUUAAAAUAAUAAAGAAAGGUCAAACUUCAAAUUCACUUCAAAUCAGCUUUGAAAAGUCCAAGUGAAUUAUCCUAAGUUCAACAAGGUCAAACAAAGUUUGACAAA